CCUACGGGUGGCAGCAGUGAGGAAUAUUUGUCAAUGGGCGCGAGCCUGAACCAGCCAAGCAGCGUGAAGGAUGACUGCCCUACGGGUUGUAAACUUCUUUUAUAAAGGAAUAAAGUGAGGCACGAGUGCCUUUAUGUAUGUACUUUAUGAAUAAGGAUCGGCUAACUCCGUGCCAGCAGCCGCGGUAAUACGGAGGAGCCGAGCGUUAUCCGGAUUUAUUGGGUGUAAAGGGAGCGUAGAUGGGUUGUUAAGUCAGUUGUGAAAGUGUGCGGCUCAACCGUAAAAUUGCAAUUGAUACUGGCAGCCUAGAGUACAGGUGAGGUAGGCGGAAUUCGUGGUGUAGCAGUGAAAUGCUUAGAUAUCACGAAGAACUCCGAUGGCGAAGGCGGCUUACUAAACUGCAACUGACAUUGAGGCUCGAAGGUGUGGGUAUCAAACAGGAUUAGAUACCCUAGUAGUC
This 460-nucleotide ribosomal RNA is filed under the name uncultured bacterium. RNAcentral describes it as "partial 16S ribosomal RNA". It matches the Rfam family "Bacterial small subunit ribosomal RNA", at positions 338 to 795 of the family's 1533-position model. The record is from RNAcentral.